AUUGAACGCUGGCGGCAGGCCUAACACAUGCAAGUCGAGCGGAUGAAGGGAGCUUGCUCCUGGAUUCAGCGGCGGACGGGUGAGUAAUGCCUAGGAAUCUGCCUGGUAGUGGGGGAUAACGUCCGAAAAGGGGCCUAAUACCGCAUACGUCCCGGGGGAAGAAGGGGGGGGUCUUCGGAACCCACCCCAACAAGUGGACCCUAGGUCGGAUUAGCUAGUUGGUGGGGUAAAGGCCUACCAAGGCGACGAUCCGUAACUGGUCUGAGAGGAUGAUCAGUCACACUGGAACUGAGACACGGUCCAGACUCCUACGGGAGGCAGCAGUGGGGAAUAUUGGACAAUGGGCGAAAGCCUGAUCCAGCCAUGCCGCGUGUGUGAAGAAGGUCUUCGGAUUGUAAAGCACUUUAAGUUGGGAGGAAGGGCAGUAAGUUAAUACCUUGCUGUUUUGACGUUACCAACAGAAUAAGCACCGGCUAACUUCGUG
This 484-nucleotide ribosomal RNA is filed under the name uncultured bacterium. Its description in RNAcentral is "partial 16S ribosomal RNA". It matches the Rfam family "Bacterial small subunit ribosomal RNA", at positions 30 to 507 of the family's 1533-position model. The record is from RNAcentral.